Molecule: unclassified non-coding RNA, 590 nt
Filed under: Hevea brasiliensis (rubber tree)
Lineage: Eukaryota; Viridiplantae; Streptophyta; Magnoliopsida; Malpighiales; Euphorbiaceae
Source: RNAcentral
AAUGAGAUCAAGAACUACUGGAACACCCACAUCAAGCGUAAGUUAAUUAGCCGAGGCAUUGACCCACAAACUCAUGGCCCGCGCAACGAAAAAACCACCACCAGCAGCAAGACGACGGCCGCCACUGGCGCCGCUAAACCCAACGCCAACAGAGUCACACAGUUAAACUUCGAAAACACUUCUCCUCGAUCAAUAGCCGAAAUCAAUCAUUUGAAAGGCAAUAUCGAGAGCAAAUACUCCAAUAAUUUCUACUCCAGUUUCAACCCCACAAAAGCAGAGUCCACAGAAGAAAAUAACGGUACCAGCAGCGGGAUGACCACCGACGAAGAACACCACCGCCACCACCAACAAGAAAGGGAAAGCAGCUAUGAAAAUCAAGAAGUUAAUUUGGAUUUAACAAUAGCGCUAGCUCCAAGUCGAAGUGAGUUGAUUCCGAGAUCUUCUUCCAACUCAGCCGAGUCAAAGUUACAGCAGCAAACUUCAUACCAAUUGCUUGAUCAAACUCGGAGGGUCUGCACUUGUUGUCAAUUGGGUUCACAGAGGAGUGAAUUGUGUAGCAAAUGCCAGAAUUCAAAUGGGUUCUAUAGAUA